CCUACGGGAGGCAGCAGUGAGGAAUAUUGGUCAAUGGACGAGAGUCUGAACCAGCCAAGUAGCGUGAAGGAUGACUGCCCUAUGGGUUGUAAAUUUCUUUUAUAUGGGAAUAAAAUGUUCCACGUGUGGGAUUUUGUAUGUACCAUAUGAAUAAGGAUCGGCUAACUCCGUGCCAGCAGCCGCGGUAAUACGGAGGAUCCGAGCGUUAUCCGGAUUUAUUGGGUUUAAAGGGCGCGUAGGUGGAUUGUUAAGUCAGUUGUGAAAGUUUGCGGCUCAAACGUAAAAUUGCAGUUGAAACUGGCAGGCUUGAGGACAGUAGAGGUGGGCGGAAUUCGUGGUGUAGCGGUGAAAUGCUUAGAUAUCACGAAGAACUCCGAUUGCGAAGGCAGCUCACUGGACUGCAACUGACACUGAGGCUCGAAAGUGUGGGUAUCAAACAGGAUUAGAUACCCUUGUAGUC
Molecule: ribosomal RNA, 460 nt
Filed under: uncultured bacterium
Lineage: Bacteria
Description: partial 16S ribosomal RNA
Rfam family: Bacterial small subunit ribosomal RNA
Source: RNAcentral